CCGGCACGAGUGGCAAUCAGCUCAUAGAAACCAUAAAUGGAUUUAUUUUGGAUUUUUUUGCUCUGUACAACUUUAAUGAGAAAUCUCAGAAACAACAAAAAAAUCAAAAUUUUGGGCUCAUCCUGGAAUUUCCCUUUCUUAUUUUACAUUUUCCCAUCGGAAUUAGCAAAAUAUUUUCAUUUUUGGGGGAUUUUUUGGGAUUUCUUUGGGAUUUUUUGGGAUUUUUUUUUGGGAUCGGCUCCGAGGGUUUGGAAUUUUUAUUUUUUGGGAUUCAAAAAAUUCAAGGGGAAAUGAAAAGAAAUGAAAAUUUCCAUAAUUUUGGGGAAAAUUUUGGUAAAUUCUAUUUUUUUUUACAAAAAAUUCUAAAUUUUUAAGGCAAAAAUUUCUCUAUUUUUGGCAAAAUUUCUCUUUUUUUGGCAAAAAAAUCUUUUUUUAAUUGGGUAAAAAUUCCUUUUCUGGGGUCAUAAAUUCAAUUUUUUUUUCAAAAAUUCCUCUAUUUGGGGCAAAAUUUCAUUUUUUGGGAAAAAGAUUCAAUUUAUUUUGGAAAAAGUUCAAAUUUUUUAAAAUAUUCAAAAUUUAUCAGCAAAAUAUUAAAUUUUUUCUGCAAAAUUUCCCUCUUUUUGGCAAAAAAAUCCUCUUUUUCCGGGAAAAAUUCAAAUUUUUUACAAAUAUUUCUCUUUUUUGGGCAAAAAUUCAAAAUUUUUCUGCAUAAAUUCUAUGUUUUUAAAAAAAUCAUUUUUUUGGGCAAAAAUUCAAAGUUUUGGCGUAAAAAUUCAAAUUUCUUUCUGACAAAAUAUCCUAUACUUUUGGGGUACAAAAUUCAAAUUUCUUUGGGCAAAAAUUCUUUUUUUUUGGUAAAAAUUCGUCUUUUAUUGGCAAAAAUUCAAAUUUUUUUUCUACAAAAAAUUAAUCUUUUCUUUUAAAUGCCGCUUUUUUGGCAAAAAUUCGGAGUUUUUUCUCAAAAAUUUAAAUUUUUUUCUGGUAAAAUGCCUGGUGGUUUUGGGACAAAUUUUGGGUUUUUUGGUAAAAAUUCCUCAUUUUUUGGGCAAAAAUUCCUCUCUUUUUUGCAAAAAUUCAUAAUUUUGGGGUGGGGGACAAAAAUUCAAUCUUUUUUUCCGAAAAAAAUCAAAUUUUUCCCACAAAAAAUCCCAAUUUUGGGGCAAAAUUCCCAUUUUCUCCCCUCGCGUUCAGCGUCGGUUCCGCGCGGAUCCUCCCGCCCUCACGGCGCCCUCGGGAACUCUCGGAAAUGCUCGGAAACCUUCGGGAACUCUCGUGGAGCCCUCGGAAACCUUCGGGAACUGUCGGGGGAGCCCUCGGAAACCUUCGGCAACUCUCGGGGAGCCCUCGGAAACCUUCGGGAACUCUCGGGGAGCCCUCGGAAACCCUCGGGAACUGUCGGGGGAGCCCUCGGAAACUCUCGGGAGCCGGCGGGGGAGCCCUCGGGAACCGUCGGAAGCCAUCGGAAGAGCCCUCAGGAGCCCUCGGGAACUGGCGGGGGAGCCCUCGGGAACCGGCGGGAUCUGGCGGGAACGGGCAGGGGAGCCCUCGGGAGCCGGCAGAAACCGUCGGGGGGGCGCUCGGGAGCCGGCGGGA
RNAcentral lists this long non-coding RNA (1593 nucleotides) under Junco hyemalis (dark-eyed junco). RNAcentral describes it as "lncRNA (ENSJHYG00000002521.1)". The record is from RNAcentral. Lineage: Eukaryota; Metazoa; Chordata; Aves; Passeriformes; Passerellidae.